RNAcentral lists this microRNA precursor (107 nucleotides) under Nicotiana attenuata. RNAcentral's name for it is "MIR6152 microRNA precursor family". It matches the Rfam family "MIR6152 microRNA precursor family". The record is from Rfam by way of RNAcentral. Lineage: Eukaryota; Viridiplantae; Streptophyta; Magnoliopsida; Solanales; Solanaceae.
UAGACAGAUUUUUGUAUUCGACUCUAUUCAACUGUAUUCAUCGCGUGAAACAGAGGAUUACAACUAUUUUUAAACGAAAAGUGAAUCAAUUAACAUAAUAGACUCCU